This is a long non-coding RNA of Heterocephalus glaber (naked mole-rat), 1622 nucleotides long. RefSeq lists it as uncharacterized. Lineage: Eukaryota; Metazoa; Chordata; Mammalia; Rodentia; Bathyergidae. The record is from RefSeq and is a predicted model, not a curated record.
GCAGAAGCACUGUGACUGCAUUUAAGACUCAAAAAUUUCAUCUAUUGUAAGAUUCUGUACAAAUUGUUUUGAGUCACCUAUGAACACAACCUGAAUGGAGAAAUGUGUUCCUACUUCCUUGGCUAACUGUGACUGAUUGGUAAUGGCUGUCUGGAUCAUGGUGUUGAGAUAAAUAAUGAGACCUUGCCUCGGCUUGGACAGGAAAAUGGCUGCGAUUAAUUAGAAAUGUCUGCCACGGCCACAAGUCGGGGCUUAUCUUUUCCUCGGGGGAGGAGAAACAGAGAUAUUUCUGCUUGCUGAGGACUCCGGAUGCUCAGUCCUUUAGACCAUCACACCAUACUUCUUCCUUCAAUGAUCGGAAUUUGCUUUUCCUGAUGGAGUUACCUCUUGGAUGAAUCAAGCACUUUUACCUUCUCUACCUGGGUGGCUGGCUCAUAAUUGCCACCAGUCUGUUGGGAUGACCUGAGCUCAGCUCAUACCUUACAGGUUACUGUAACACUUCCUGAAGAUUUACAUUUAUGUUUCAUCUAGAUGUAAUUUAAGAUCUUCUUAAGCUCAAAAGAGUAUAAACGAACUCCCACCUGCUAAGCUGGCUUCCAGGAAUGAUGCAAGAUGGAGCUGUCUCCUUCUUUGAUUGAUCAAAAUAUAAGUAUUAGAACCUUCUCCCAUUUUUUCUUCUUAAUUCUAAAUUCAGUAAUUUACUCGACAAGCACGAUGGUACACACUACCCAGUUUUAAUCAAGGCUAGCACUUUAUCUUAUUUGCUUCAAAUAUUGCAGAUAAACUUCAGAUGCCCUCAUCCCUCCUCCCAUCCUUAGAGGGAAACACUAUCCCUUAUUCUUUUCCAAAGAUAACUUAGUUUUUGCUCCAUUUGGUGAUUGAAGGGCUGGGGAAAUGGAAUUAUAUUCAUUGCAUUUCUCCUUUCUGCUUUUUUUUUUUUUUUAAUAAGCAUGGAUUGUACUCUUUGAAUGGGAGGAAAUAGACCCUGAGUGUCAAAUAUUUGAGAUGUGGCUUUUGUUUAUGUUGCCAGUGGUUGAAAUUUGAAGGGGAAAAAACCUAGCAUGGGUUUAGGGUUUUUUUUGACAGAUCCAUGGAGCUGCAGAACAUUAUCUAUUUUGCUUAAGGCCAAAAACUUGAAUUUAUAAUUCUACAUGAGCUUCUCAAAGGGGAAACUAAACAAUUCAGCCCAAGAUUUUUUCCAGUGUAAAUUUUUUGCUCCUCAUUGGACCGAAUGCCCAGGGGAACACAAAUAAAUAGCAAAGGAUCACCUUUUGAGGAGCUGACACACCAAUCAGGAUAAAAACAUGUUAAAAAGAGAGUAAUAGGAGACAGACUAUAAUCAAGCUUGCAAUCCUGUUGGGAAGAAAUCUGAGUGCCAAAAGUAGGAAGAAAAGAGUGGGUUGAGGUGAAAUCAGGAUGUGAGAACAAGAUACCAGAGUAAAAAGGCAGCAAGAGUAGAUGCAAAGAUAGAGAAUUGUGGAAGUCAUAUUGUAGGCUUGGUUUCAUUUUUCUAAGAACCUUCCUUUGAAUAAUUCACAGAGCGCUCUGCAGAGUGGCAUUUUAGUUUGUAGACCCCUUAAUAAAUAUUCAUUGUAAUGGCAGAAUGUGUAAUUAAAAAUUAA